Non-coding RNA from Salvelinus sp. IW2-2015, 1212 nucleotides. The record is from RefSeq and is a predicted model, not a curated record. NCBI's taxonomy places the organism in Eukaryota, Metazoa, Chordata, Actinopteri, Salmoniformes, Salmonidae.
UAUGACUUACCAACACAACACUGGAACUCUUCCAAGUCAAGGAGCCAUGAACUACGCUCGGUUUUUGACAGCUGUAAGUGCAGCUCGGAAGCCCUCCUUCAUCCGAAUGUUGACUGAGCUCCAGCAGAGGUCUCUCCCUCCAUGAUCUCCCUGGCCGGAGGGGCUCCCAACACCUUCCCCUUCCAGUCCUGCUCCAUCCAGGUGAAGAAUGGGGACAGAAUGGGGACACGAUCACUUUCGACGAGACCAUGAUGAAGAGGGCUCUACAGUACUCUGCCUCCAGCGGGUUUUUGAAAUGCUUGUCAAUCCUGGAGACGUUUUACUCCUCGCAUCUACCUACUCUGGAACUCUCGCUGCAGUAAGAAGCACUUCUCUUUCUCUCUCUCUUUCACCCUCCCUCCCUCCGGUGACCAGCACGGUAUGAUCCUGGGAGGCCUGAAGGAGGUGCUGUCCCGCUGUGACCUGGCAGACGUCCACAAGCCACACAGCACCAUACCCAGGGUCCUCUACACCAUCCCCAAUGGAGGAAACCCCACUGGGGCCUCCUUGACCACCCAGAGGGAGAUUUACAAGCUUGUCAGACAGAAUGACCUCCUUAUUAUCGAGGAUGACCCCUAUUACUUCCUACAGUGAAAAGGACAGACUCCUUCUCAAAGAUCCUGUCAUCAUGGCUGAGAAUAGGCUUUGUGGGCCCAAGCCGCUGGUGGACAGAGUGGUACUACACAUCCAGGCUUCUACGAUGCACACCAGCACCUUCACACAGCUCAUUGUGUCCCAACUGCUGCAUGGCUGAGGUCAGGAAGGUGUCCUCAACAACAUAGAUGGUGCUCACUCCUCCCCAACUCACGGCUGUCAUGGUGACUGGUACCAGGCUGUGUCUCUUCUCCUCCCAGAGGAUCCCUCCUAUAGGAUCCCUGACGGCUAACAACAACAUAUCCCGACAUGUGACAGAGUGGCGUGAUCCAGCUGCAGGCAUGUUCCUGUGGAUCAAGCUGAAGGACAUCGCAGACACCCAGCAGCUGAUCAUGGAGAAAGCUCUGGAGGAGAAGGUGCUGCUUGUCCCUAGAGGUGUAUUCAUGAUCAACAGCUUAGACCCUUGUCCUUAUGUCAGAGCGGCCUUCUCCCUCUCCACACCGCAACAGAUCGAUGAGGUGAAGAAACAGACACACACACACACACACACUUGAAGUCAAUAAAUGAGUAAUAAAUAUA